RNAcentral lists this ribosomal RNA (419 nucleotides) under uncultured bacterium. RNAcentral's name for it is "bacterial SSU rRNA". It matches the Rfam family "Bacterial small subunit ribosomal RNA", at positions 355 to 774 of the family's 1533-position model. The record is from RNAcentral.
UGAGGAAUAUUGCGCAAUGGAGGAAACUCUGACGCAGCGACGCCGCGUGAAGGAUGAAUGCCCUCUGGGUUGUAAACUUCUGUAGAGAGGGAAGAAUGUCCGCCUUCGGCGGAUUGACGGUACCUCUAAAGUAAGCAUCGGCUAACUACGUGCCAGCAGCCGCGGUAAUACGUAGGAUGCGAGCGUUGUCCGGAUUCACUGGGUGUAAAGGGAGCGCAGGCGGGCUUUCAAGUCAGUGGUGAAAUCUCCGAGCUUAACUUGGAAACUGCCGUGGAUACUAUAGGUCGUGAAUUAUCUGGAGGUAAGCGGAAUAUGUCAUGGAGCGGUUAAAUGCUUAGAUAUGACAUAGAACACCAAUUGCGAAGGCAGCUUACUACAUAUAAAUUGACGCUGAGGCACGAAAGCGUGGGGAUCAAACA